AGCGACUAAGCGUACACGGUGGAUGCCCAGGCAGUCAGAGGCGAUGAAGGACGUGCUAAUCUGCGUAAAGCGACGGUAAGGUGAUAUGAACCGCUACAGCCGUCGAUGUCCGAAUGGGGAAACCCGGUGCACUCUGUGCAUCAUUGCAGCAUGAAUACAUAGUGCUGCAAGGCGAACCGGGGGAACUGAAACAUCUAAGUACCCCGAGGAAAAGAAAUCAACCGAGAUUCCCCCAGUAGCGGCGAGCGAACGGGGAGCAGCCCAGAGCCUGAAUCAGUUUGUGUGUUAGUGGAAGCGUCUGGAAAGUCGCAGGGUACAGGGUGAUACUCCCGUACACAAAAGCACACAAGCUGUGAGCUCGAUGAGUAAGGCGGGACACGUGGUAUCCUGUCUGAAUAUGGGGGGACCAUCCUCCAAGGCUAAAUACUCCUGACUGACCGAUAGUGAACCAGUACCGUGAGGGAAAGGCGAAAAGAACCCCGGCGAGGGGAGUGAAACAGAACCUGAAACCGUGUACGUACAAGCAGUGGGAGCCUUCUUUAUGGGGGUGACUGCGUACCUUUUGUAUAAUGGGUCAGCGACUUAUAUUCUGUAGCAAGGUUAACCGUAUAGGGGAGCCGCAGGGAAACCGAGUCUUAACUGGGCGUUAAGUUGCAGGGUAUAGACCCGAAACCCGGUGAUCUAGCCAUGGGCAGGUUGAAGGUUGGGUAACACUAACUGGAGGACCGAACCGACUAAUGUUGAAAAAUUAGCGGAUGACCUGUGGCUGGGGGUGAAAGGCCAAUCAAACCGGGAGAUAGCUGGUUCUCCCCGAAAGCUAUUUAGGUAGCGCCUCGUGAACUCAUCUUCGGGGGUAGAGCACUGUUUCGGCUAGGGGGCCAUCCCGGCUUACCAACCCGAUGCAAACUGCGAA
RNAcentral lists this ribosomal RNA (913 nucleotides) under Pantoea agglomerans. RNAcentral's name for it is "bacterial LSU rRNA". It matches the Rfam family "Bacterial large subunit ribosomal RNA", at positions 1 to 960 of the family's 2925-position model. Lineage: Bacteria; Pseudomonadati; Pseudomonadota; Gammaproteobacteria; Enterobacterales; Erwiniaceae. The record is from RNAcentral.